Non-coding RNA from Pelobates cultripes (western spadefoot toad), 148 nucleotides. NCBI's taxonomy places the organism in Eukaryota, Metazoa, Chordata, Amphibia, Anura, Pelobatidae. The record is from the annotation of a GenBank genome assembly.
UGUUUGUUCAGUCAUUUUUAGUAGCCACUUAGUCACAAACACUGGCCAAAUAUUAGUUUUUUGCUUUUUUUCACGCAAAAACAAAUAUGAACGCUAACUUUGGCCAGUGUUUGUGACUAAGUGGAUACUAAAAAAGACUGGAAAUACC